This 510-nucleotide ribosomal RNA is filed under the name uncultured Glomus. Its description in RNAcentral is "SSU rRNA". It matches the Rfam family "Eukaryotic small subunit ribosomal RNA", at positions 583 to 1092 of the family's 1831-position model. The record is from RNAcentral. Lineage: Eukaryota; Fungi; Glomeromycota; Glomeromycetes; Glomerales; Glomeraceae.
UUCCAGCUCCAAUAGCGUAUAUUAAAGUUGUUGCAGUUAAAAGCUCGUAGUUGAAUUUCGGGGUCAGUAGAUUGGUCGUGCCACUGGUAUGUACUGGUCUUACUGAUUCCUCCUUCUUGACGAACUGUGAUGUCAUUAAUUUGGUGUUGCAGGGAAUCAGGACUGUUACUUUGAAAAAAUUAGAGUGUUUAAAGCAAGCUAACGCUUGAAUACAUUAGCAUGGAAUAAUGAAAUAGGACGUUUGAUCCUAUUUUAGUUGGUUUCUUAGGAUCGACGUAAUGAUUAAUAGGGAUAGUUGGGGGCAUUAGUAUUCAAUUGUCAGAGGUGAAAUUCUUGGAUUUAUUGAAGACUAACUACUGCGAAAGCAUUUGCCAAGGAUGUUUUCAUUAAUCAAGAACGAAAGUUAGGGGAUCGAAGACGAUCAGAUACCGUCGUAGUCUUAACCAUAAACUAUGCCGACUAGGGAUCGGAUGAUGUUAAUUUUUUUAAUGACUCAUUCGGCGCCUUACG